GCUGGAUGCUGACGAGCGGCGGACGUGUUGAGUAAUGCAUAGGAAUCUGCCCGAUAGUGGGGGAUAACCUGGGGAAACCCAGGCUAAUACCGCAUACGUCCUACGGGAGAAAGGGGGCUCCGGCUCCCGCUAUGGGAUGAGCCUAUGUCGGAUUAGCUAGUUGGUGAGGUAACGGCUCACCAAGGCCACGAUCCGUAGCUGGUCUGAGAGGAUGAUCAGCCACAUCGGGACUGAGACACGGCCCGAACUCCUACGGGAGGCAGCAGUGGGGAAUAUUGGACAAUGGGGGAAACCCUGAUCCAGCCAUGCCGCGUGUGUGAAGAAGGCCCUCGGGUUGUAAAGCACUUUCAGCGAGGAAGAACGCCUAGCGGUUAAUACCCGCUAGGAAAGACAUCACUCGCAGAAGAAGCACCGGCUAACUCCGUGCCAGCAGCCGCGGUAAUACGGAGGGUGCAAGCGUUAAUCGGAAUUACUGGGCGUAAAGCGCGCGUAGGUGGCUUGAUAAGCCGGUUGUGAAAGCCCCGGGCUCAACCUGGGAAACGGCAUCCGGAACUGUCAAGCUAGAGUGCAGGAGAGGAAGGUAGAAUUCCCGGUGUAGCGGUGAAAUGCGUAGAGAUCGGGAGGAAUACCAGUGGCGAAGGCGGCCUUUCUGGGA
RNAcentral lists this ribosomal RNA (655 nucleotides) under Vreelandella aquamarina. RNAcentral's name for it is "bacterial SSU rRNA". It matches the Rfam family "Bacterial small subunit ribosomal RNA", at positions 79 to 734 of the family's 1533-position model. Lineage: Bacteria; Pseudomonadati; Pseudomonadota; Gammaproteobacteria; Oceanospirillales; Halomonadaceae. The record is from RNAcentral.